AAGGGAGACCUAAUUCAGGUAGGAGACGAAAAAAAAGUAGUCCCUACCAAGAAUUAAUCCCAAAAGGUCGGAGCGAGGCAAAAUUGGCUUUCAAACUAGGUUCUGGGUUCACACAAGACCUGAAUCAGGAACAAGGGCUAUUAGCUCAGGUGGUUAGAGCGCGCCCCUGAUAAGGGUGAGGUCCCUGGUUCGAGUCCAGGAUGGCCCACCUGUACAGGUGGCAAAAACAAAGAAAAGAAGCGAGGAAUCAGCACCUUAUCUUACUUAUAUAGUAAGAGAGAAUGCUGGCUCUGAGUUCAGAGUCCAGAGGAACCUUGAAAACUGCAUAGAGCUAGGUGAAAAAGCCAAAAAAGAAGACCACAA
RNAcentral lists this transfer RNA (363 nucleotides) under uncultured Microcystis sp. RNAcentral's name for it is "partial miscellaneous RNA". The stretch from base 135 to 208 matches the Rfam family "tRNA". The record is from RNAcentral. Lineage: Bacteria; Bacillati; Cyanobacteriota; Cyanophyceae; Chroococcales; Microcystaceae.